UACGUAGGGGGCAAGCGUUGUCCGGAAUCAUUGGGCGUAAAGCGCGCGUAGGCGGCCCGGUCAGUCCGUUGUGAAAGUCAAAGGCUCAACCUUUGAAUGCCGACGGAUACUGCCGGGCUAGAGUCCGGAAGAGGCGAGUGGAAUUCCUGGUGUAGCGGUGAAAUGCGUAGAUAUCUGGAGGAACACCGGUGGCGAAGGCGGCAUCCUGGACCGACACUGACGCUGAGGCGCGAAAGCUAGGGGAGCAAACGGG
This 253-nucleotide ribosomal RNA is filed under the name uncultured bacterium. RNAcentral describes it as "partial 16S ribosomal RNA". It matches the Rfam family "Bacterial small subunit ribosomal RNA", at positions 524 to 776 of the family's 1533-position model. The record is from RNAcentral.